UGGAAGAAUGAAUCUUCUAAGGGCUGUGGA
This 30-nucleotide non-coding RNA is filed under the name Rattus norvegicus (Norway rat). The record is from RNAcentral. Lineage: Eukaryota; Metazoa; Chordata; Mammalia; Rodentia; Muridae.